Molecule: unclassified non-coding RNA, 376 nt
Filed under: uncultured Terriglobia bacterium
Lineage: Bacteria; Pseudomonadati; Acidobacteriota; Terriglobia
Description: uncultured Acidobacteriia bacterium contains 16S-23S intergenic spacer region
Source: RNAcentral
UCUCCGUUAUCCGGAGCAGUCCACGUAGAGUUCCCCCUUGCGGGUGGCAACUACGUGUAAGGGUUGCGCUCGUUGCGGGACUUAACCCAACACCUCACGGCACGAGCUGACGACAGCCAUGCAGCACCUAUACUGGUGUCCCUUGCGGGAAGGCGAUGUUUCCACCGCUGGUCACCGGCAUUUCGAGCCCAGGUAAGGUUCUUCGCGUAGCGUCGAAUUGAACCACAUGUUCCACCGCUUGUGCGGGCCCCCGUCAAUUCCUUUGAGUUUCAGUCUUGCGACCGUACUCCCCAGGCGCAGGACUUAACGCGUUAGCUACGGGACGACCCGCCUACGCGAGCCACCCCAAGUCCUGAUGGUUUAGGGCUAGGACUAC